GGCUGGUCUGAAGGUAGUAAGCUCUCUCAGUUGAUUAUUCAGUCAGUUACAGAUUGAAUUCCUUGUUCUUCUCUUUUCCUCCUUCUCACUACUGCACUUGACUAGCCUUAA
This 111-nucleotide Y RNA is filed under the name Saimiri boliviensis boliviensis (Bolivian squirrel monkey). RNAcentral's name for it is "Y RNA (ENSSBOG00000002082.1)". It matches the Rfam family "Y RNA". From Rfam's summary of the family: Y RNAs are components of the Ro ribonucleoprotein particle (Ro RNP), in association with Ro60 and La proteins. The Y RNAs and Ro60 and La proteins are well conserved, but the function of the Ro RNP is not known. The record is from Rfam by way of RNAcentral. Lineage: Eukaryota; Metazoa; Chordata; Mammalia; Primates; Cebidae.